This 31783-nucleotide long non-coding RNA is filed under the name Coffea arabica (coffee). Lineage: Eukaryota; Viridiplantae; Streptophyta; Magnoliopsida; Gentianales; Rubiaceae. The record is from RNAcentral.
GUUACUUUUUCUAUGGAUAAAAACGGAUCUAAUUGAUAUAGGAAGCACCGUAAAGAUCAAUUAGCAAGGUUUUUGGCCAAUACAAUAAUAACUACGUACUUAUGUCAUGAUCGGAGAUAUCCCUAUCAUCCCAUGGUGUGAGAUAAAAAUUAGGAAUCCACUUAUGUAAUGGAGUCGAGCCACUAAGGUUUUGAGUAGCGGUGUAGGAUCAGAUCCCAAAGAUAGUAAGUCUUUUCUUAUGAAGAAAAGUCUUUUUCAAAAAUUCUAUAAUAGAUUUUAUAUGAAACCGAGAUAGUUACCUUUCCGAAAAUUAUAACAAUAGGGAAAGUUUAUUCUUCUGAAGGUGGGAAAAAGGACAAAACUAAAUAAAACGUAUAUUUCUAGUUACUUUUUCUAUGGAUAAAAACGGAUCUAAUUGAUAUAGCAAGCACCGUAAAGAUCAAUUAGCAAGGUUUUUGGCCAAUACAAUAAUAACUGCGUACUUAUGUCAUGAUCGGAGAUAUCCCUCUCAUCCCAUGGUGUGAGAUAAAAAUUAGGAAUCCACUUAUGUAAUGGAGUCGAGCCACUAAGGUUUUGAGCAGCGGUGUAGGAUCAGAUCCCAAAGAUAGUAAGUCUUUUCUUAUGAAGAAGAGUCUUUUUCAAAAAUUCUAUAAUAGAUUUUAUAUGAAACCGAGGUAGUUACCUUUCAGAAAAUUAUAACAAUAGGGAAAGUUUAUUCUUCUGAAGGUGGGAAAAAGGACAAAACUAAAUAAAACGGAUUGGAUUAUGAAUCCAAAUUUUAGUUUGAAACUCAUGUAAUUAACCUCUUUUGGCUAAUCCGAAUAAAUUGGAUAGAUCCAUAGAAAUCCCAUUCAUUAGAUAUAAUAGAUUAAAAUGGCACACCAAAAGAAUUGAUUGCUGAGCCGUAUGAGGUAGAAAACUCUCAAGUACGGUUCUAAGGGAAGGGAUUGACCUACCUAUUCCGACCAUGGAGAACAGGCCAUUCGACAGGGAGAUUCGAAAAUAGUGGAGGCUUGGUUCGAUCAAGCCGCUGAGUAUUGGAAAUAGGCUAUAUCGCUUACUCCUGGUAAUUAUAUUGAAGCGCAUAAUUGGUUGAAGAUCACGAGGCGUUUCGGAUAAAAAAAAAAAGAAGACACCAUUUUUUUAUUAUUAUUUUAUUUAAUUUAGUAUUUAGAUUUUUUAGCUAUGUAUAUAAUUAUAUAUCAUUUUUAUUAAAAUGAAUUGUUUAUUGGCCCCAUCAAUCAGUCAAAUAAAAAAGGGAUCGUUCCUUUGAGAAGAACCAAUUAAAGAAUUUCAUUAUAUCCCUUCUAAGUACUCUAUUUCGUCUGGUAUUUCGUAGGUAUAAAUAAAAGGGAUACACAAAUAGAGUACAAAAUAUACCUCUUUCUUUGAUUAUUAAUAUAGGAGUGAGAUAUUGUAAUGUAGCAGGGGAAUCCGCCGUUUCGGCUACCACAAUGGCAUAUUCCAUUGCUCCCCUUUCCUGGAAAGUAGUUACUACCUGAGCCACAGAAGAAGCUUUUUGACCAAUAACUACAUAAACACAUAUUACAUUUUGACCUUGUUGAUUGAGAAUCGUAUCUGUGGAUACUGCUGUUUUACUGGUCUGUCUGUCCCCAAUAAUUAAUUCUCGCUGGCCCCGUCCUAUAGGAAUCAUCGAGAGAGUUGGCCGAAAUGGGCACUAAAUACUUUUUGAGAAAUCUCCUCCAAAUAACUUUCCAAAGUCUUGGAGAGGAAGAUGCAUCUUGGGUUGACGUAUAGUGCAACUUGUCAGACAUAUUGGAUCCUAUGGGAUUUCCCUGUUUUCUCCCCCGAUUGAGAUAUCCUCCGUUUCACCCGAGAAAGAUUCAUUGAAUCAGCAAAAAUUUGGAGCGUGAAGUGCAAUUAGAUCCAUUUUGGAGAUUAAUAUUAGUUCGAAUAAUUUAUGGUUGGUUUGGUUGGACUAAAUACAAAAAAGCCUUCUUAUAUCUCGCGGCAAUUGUGACCUCUCAGGAGAAUCGAUGACUGCAUCAAAGAUGCAAUGCUAGUACUAGUACAUCUUAGAAUUCUUAAUUGUCUAGUUGUAAAUAGCCCCAGGGCUAUGGAACAAAGAAUUAUCCCGGACCUACACCGAGGUAUUAAUGGUGAUUUUCAAAUCUCGCAGAAUGUGAUACGAUGAGAUAAAAUGCAAAGACAAGGAACAGGUUACCUACUCUUAACGGACAAAGCGAGCCCCUUUAUUCUGAAUUAAAGAAUUCAGAAUAAAUCAAAUCUCCCCAAGUAGGAUUCGAACCUACGACCAAUCGGUUAACAGCCGACCGCUCUACCACUGAGCUACUGAGGAACAAUGGGAGAUUAGAUCUUAUAGAGUUCAAUUCCUGUUCUCAACCCAUGACCAAUAUGAGCUAGAAGCUUCCUUCGUAACCCCCGGAACUUAUUCGUAGUGGCACCCUUCCAUGCCUCAUUUCAGAGGGAAAUUCAAAGUGGCUCUAUUUCAUUAUAUUUCAUCCAUACCCCAAAUCCAUUCAUUUAAUAUCCUUUUGGUGUCAUUGACAUAACAGAUGUCGUUUCUAGUCUAUAUUUCUUUUCUAUUGCAAUUUCUAGAUUAUUAUAUGAUGAUUUUUUAACUUUCCUUUUUUUAUCACUCGAUUAAAUUCGAAUUAUCAUCUACUAUUAGAUAGUAAAUAACUUUAGUAUAGUUAAAUUAGUUAAAUUUUUCAUUUUUGAAUUCAAAUGACAUUUGGAAUUCUUUUUUUAUACUUCUAUAUAUUUAUUUUAUUUGAUUCUAUAUCAUAUAUUUCUAAUUGUAAUUAGGAGUUCUAACUAAUGAGACAUUCUCCAUUUUCAUUCAUAAAGAUGUAAUUAAUGUUGUAAUGUAAAGUAAAUAAAUCGUAAAGACAAAAAUUAAGCCGAUAAAAAAAGAAUCGACCGUUCAACUAUUCAAAAUUGCAUUGGAAAGCUGACAGGGAGAUAUAUAUAUCUUAGACUUCCUAGGCCAUAAAAAGGAUGACAUGAUGCUUUCCAUCUUCUUGAUUACUCCUUUGGGAAGGAUAAAAGCUAAAGACCAUUAAAGUUGACAACCAUUUGAUAUAGUUUUAAUAUGUUGAAAUCUUCCACCAUAGCUGAGUUUUUAAUUUGGCCAGCCAUGAAUUUUCUAUUGCAACUUAUUAAUACAAGGAGGCAAUCCUUGUAACUCAACCUAGUGGAUAUAAGAGGCAGGCCCAUGUGUUUGACUUGUAAUGCACAAGCAUUCAUUUGCAUCAAGUCAGAAAGUAUAUCCUGAGUAGAAUUCUCCAAGCUGGCAUAGAAAACCUGAUAUUUAUCAAGAUUGGAUUGAAGCCAGACAUAGCAUGAAAUUCCUCAAUGGUCCCCUUAAUCACCUGAAAAGAUUUAAUAGUUCCAGCUGACAGAAUGAACAAGUCAUCUGCAAGGGCCAGAUGAGACAAGCCUAACAAUUUGCAUUUUGGAUAGAAGUUGAAACUUUUUCUUUAUAGUAGCAGCAAAAAGAAGUGAGAAAAUCUCCAUAGCGAUGAGAAACAAGUAACAAGAUAAGGGAUCUCCUUACCUCAAACCCCUUUCACUAUGAAAAUAGCCCACAAGUGAACCAUUUAGACUAACAGAAAAAUGAGCAGUGCUAACACAAUUUCUAACCCGGCUGAUAAAUUUCUCAGGAAAUCCCAACUUCUGCAUGAAGAAGGAUAAGAAAUCCCAUUGUAGAGUGUCAUAAGCCUUCAUGAUAAUAAUUUUUAGGACCGCUCUGGGCUGAUCCCCUUUUCUGUUAUAAACUCUAACCAAAUCAUGCAUCAGUAGCACAUUAUCCACGAUCUGCCUACCCUUCAUAAAGGCACUUUGGUACUCACCAAUCAUGUCAGGUAUAACUUUUCUAAUCUAUUUGUAAGCACCACUGAAUAGCAUUUGUAUACUGCAUUACACCAAGCAAUAGGUCUGAACUCUCUUAUAGGCAUCGCAUUGGCAACUUUUGGAAUUAAAGCAAGGAUAGUGUUGUUUAAGGGAUAAUACAUGUAAUUCUGCUAAAAAUAGUAAAUUGCUCUUAUCACAUCUUCACCUACUACUGCCCAAUUGUGUUAUGUGUGAUUUGUUCCAUAUUGCCUUUUGUACAAGGGAAUCUUUCCCUUAGUUGGCUAUUAAGAGAGUGGGUCUAUGAUAAGAUUAAGUACACCAAACGAAAAAAGUUUUAGUGGGUUAUUUUGGUCUUUGGGUCGUUAAACCUUUUUGUUAGUAAAAUUAUUUUGGACUCCAUUGUGUUUUAGUAUUAGGUGUUUUUGGGUUUAGGAACACUUUCGUAAAGUAUUUUUUUACUCUCUUAUUUAUAGUAGAAUUUUGCUCAUCUACUGGUGGACGUAAGUCAAUUUGAUUAAACUACAUAAAUUUCUAUGUUCUUGUUUAAUUUAUUGUUUGCUUUGUUAUUUGUCUUUUGCUAUUGUUAAAAACCCUUUUGUCAAUUUUUUUGGGUCAGACCUAACGAACUGCUAUCAGAAUUUUUUCGAAGGUUUGGAUUAUGUGACAACAAUAACAAUAACAAAGACUGUUAGCGAAAAAUUCAAUAAGAAUAUCAACUUCGGGAUGUGAUAGCUCAAGAUGGAGGCUAUUUUGGUUCGAGAUGGAGUUAAUUUAGCGAUAAAGGAAGUUAAAAAAUGUAAGAAAGUGUGACAAACGUAAAUUUUUCUGAGAUAGAUAAGAAGACUAGAUCCAAUAUUAUCUUAUAUCUCUCUGAUGAGAUUUUGCGGAAGGUAGGCACCGAGACUUCAACUAAAGCUAUGUGGGACAAAUUUAAAACUCUGUAUAUCAAAAAAGUAGUUGAGAAUUAAUUUUAUUUAAAGUAAACUAAGUAUAUGUUUCAGAUAACUGAAGGUACAUCUAUACUCUCGUAUCUUGAUAAAUUUGAAUCUACUAUUAUAAAUUUGGAAAAUAUAGAUUCAAAAAUUUAUGAUGAGGAUCAGAAUUUGUCACUUUUGUUUUCUCUUUCCUAAUCUUUUAAAUAUUUUUGCGAUACUAUUAUUUAUGAAAAAAAUAAUUUCACAUCAAAAAAUUAAAUUUACAUUAAAAUCUAAGGAGCAAAUAGACAAGAAUAUUACUAAAAAAUUAAUGGGGAAGGCUUGGCUGCCAGGGAUAGAACUGAUAAAAGAGAAUUUGAUAGUAGUGAAUCUAGAUUUAAAUUUAGACAUAGAAAUUUGGAAUAUAAUUAUUGUCACAAAACAGAACAUGAUGAGAAUGAUGAAAAUAUUUUCUUUGUGACUAAUGAUAGGAUAAGAUCUAAAAAUGAAUGAAUUUUAAAUUCAAAAUGUUCUUAUCACAUAAAUGUUCCAAUAGCGAUUUAUUUUUCACUAAUAAAUCUUGUAACGGUGAAAUUAUUUUGAUAGGCAAUAAUGCUAUUUGUAAUGUUGUUGGUUAGGGUAUAAUCUGAAUUAAAAUGCAUGAUGAUAUUGUGAAGAUACUCACUAAUGUUAGAUAUGUUCCUGAUUUGAAAGAAAAAAAUCUCAUCUCUUUGGUCACUCUGAAAACUCUUGAGUACAAAUACACAGGUAAAAAUGGCAUUAUGAAGGUUUCUAAAGGUGCUAUUGCUGUUAUGAAAACUUGCAGGCCUAGUAAUUCGUAUGUUUUGUAGGGAUCUACUAUUACAGGUUCAGUUGCAGCCUCGCCAUCAUCUUUAUUUAAUUCUAACAUCACCAAAUUAUGGUAUAUGCAUUUGGGACAUAUGAACGAGAAAAGUUUGGACAUAUUAAGUAAAAGCGAACUUCUUUGCUAUUAGAGUACCAGACCAUUGGAAUUCUAUGAACACUAUGUUUUAAAAAGGUAGAAAAGAGUUAGUUUCAAUUCAUCAGCAAUUCAUAAGAUGAAAGGUACUCUUGAUUAUAUUCAUUCAAAUUUAUAGAGUCCAUCUUGUGUUCUGUCUAAGGGUAGUGCCAGGUAUAUGUUGACUUUUAUUGAUAAUUAUUCAAGAAAAACUUGGAUUUAUUUUAUUAAACAUAAGAAUCAUAUUUACCUCACUUUCAAGCAAUGAAAAAGUUUUGAUUGAGAAACAGACAGGUUCACAAAUCAAACGACUUAGAAUAGAUAAUGGUAUACAAUUUUGUGAAGAUGAAUUUGAUGAAUUUUGCAAGAAUGAAGGAAUUGUUCGGCACCGCACUGUCAAGAUGCAUUUUAACAAAAUGGUAUGGCCGAACGUAUGAACAUAACACUUUUGGAGAGAGUGAGGUGCAUAAUCUCUAACACAGGGUUGAUAAAAGACUUUUAGACAGAGAAAAUCUCUAUGGCUUGUUAUGUUGUAAACCAUACUCCUUCUACAACCCUUGAUUUCAAAACUCUUGAGGAAAUUGGUCAAGUUCUUUUGCUGAUUACUCUAAUUUAAAUUUUUUUGAAUGUCCUACAUACAUGCAUGGGAAUGAUAAAAAUGGUAGUUAAAAAGUGUAUUUUUCUUGGGUAUAUUUUUGGGGUGAAAGGGUAUAGGUUGUGGUGUCUUUUUUCCAAAUUUUCAAAAUUUUUGAUCAAUAAAGAUGUUAUUUUCGGUGAAUUCUCUAUUUUAUCUUUUAAGGAAUCUUCCAAUUCUUGUUAUGUAGAUGACAGUAUGCAGUAGUAGGUGGAACUUGAGAUUGGUAGUUCUGGUCCUUUUAUUCAACAAAUGCCAAUAUAUGUGCAUGAAUCUAUUGAUGAAAAUAAGCCAGAAAAGGAUCAAUAUUCCAUAGCCAAAUAUAAACCAAGACGAGAUAUUCAACCACUACAAACAUAUGCAAAUUUGGUUGCAUAUACUUUAUCUAUUGCAGAAGAAACUGAUAGAGUUGGUGAACCUACUACCUAUUUAGAAAAGUUUCUUGUGCUAAUUCUAUUAAAUGGUUGAUCACGAUGAAUGAAGAAAUUGAGUCACUCCAUCAAAAUAGAACUUAGAUUCUUGUGAACCUGUCUUCAAAUAAAAUUGUUGCAUGCAAAUGAAUCUUUAAGAAAAAAGAAGGCAUUUUAGGGGUUAAAGAUGCAAGGUACAAAGUACAGUUGGUUGUAAAGGUAUAAGGUAUAAGGUAUUGCUUUUAAUGAUGCAAAUGGAUCUUUAAAAACGAAAGAAGGUAUUUUAGGGAUUGAAAAUGUAAGAUACAAAGCACGGUUGGUUGUAAAGUGUUAUAGUUAAGUAUAAGGUAUUGAUUUUAAUGAUGUAUUUUCACCUAUUAUUAAACAUUGUUCUAUUCCUAUUUUGUUUGCUUUAGUUUCCAUGUAUGAUUUUGAGUUAGAGCACCUUGAUGUUAAGACAGCUUUUCUUGCAUGGUGAAUUUAAAGAGAAAAUUUAUAUGAAACAACAUCAGGGAUUUGAAAUUGAAAGAAAGGAAGACUAUAUUUGUUUGUUGAAGAAAUCCUUAUAUGGAUUGAAUCAAUCUAAAAAACAGUGGCAUAAGCGGUUGGAUUCUUUCAUGUUGGUCAUAGUUAUUCAAGGAGCACGUAUGAUAGUUGUAUCUACUUUCGGAAGUUAGCUAAUAAUUCUUUCAUUUAUUUGUUACUUUAUGUUGUGACAUUGCUUAUUGCUGCUUAAAAUUUGUUAGGAAUUCACAUUUUGAAAUUGCAGUUAAUCAAUGAAUUUGAGAUGAAGCUUUGGAAGCAGUUAAGAAAAUUCUUGGUAUAGAGAUUAAGAGAAAUCGAGAAGUUGGAAAGUUAUUCUUGACCCAGAAAAAUUAUCUUGAUAAAGUUUUGGAGAAAUUUGGCAUGAAAAAUACUAAACCUGUGACUACUCCUCUUGUUAGUCAUUUUCAAUUAUCUGCUACACACCACAGUUAGUUGAAAAGAAAGAUUCUAUAGCACGGGUUCUUUAUUCCGGUGCAGUCAUCAGUAUUAUGUAUGCAAUGAUUUGUACUCAUCCAGAUAUUGUACAAGUAGUCAAUAUUGUUAGCAGUUAUAUGUCUUGUCCUGAAAAGGUAUAUUGGUAGGUUGUAAAGUGAACUUUCAGAUAUUUGCGAGGGAUUUCAAACAUUUAUUUGGAGUUUGGAAAAAAAUAGUGAUACUUUGAUUGGUUUUGUAAACUUUGACUAUGCAAGUGAUCUUGACAAAAGAAGAUCACUUUUGGAUUAUGUAUUUUGCAUUAGUGGUUGUGAGUUAGUUGAAAAGUUACUUUACAAUCUGUUGUGCCUUUUUCUACUAUGGAGGCAGAAUUUAUAUCUGUGAUCGAGGCAAUCAAAGAAGUCUUGUGAUUGAAGGGUUUGUUUGGCUAGUUCAGUUUACGUCAAUGUGUUACUGCUAUUUAUUGUAAUAGUCAAAGUGUCAUCCACUUGACUAAAAACCAUAUAAUCAUAAGAGGAUGAAACACAUUGAUAUGAAGUUUCAUUUCAUUUGAGAUGCUAUUGCUAAGGGAAAAGUUCUUGUUCAGAAAAUCAAUACCACGAAAAAUCCUAUUGAUACGUUCACAAAACCUCUUUCAAUUUACAAAUUCAAGCAGUGCUUGGACUUGGUUGGUGUUCGUCAUUCAUGAUUUAUCUCCAUUGGAGCUUAUGUAGAGAAAGUGGAGCAAAAUUGCUAUUGUCGAUAAUAGGGACACACCAAUGUGGAGAUUUGUUAUGUGUGAUCCUGUCCUACAUCACCUUUUGUAUAAGGGAGUCUUUCCCUUUGUUAGCUAUAAAUAAAGUGGGUCUAAGAUGAGAUUAAGUACACCAAAUCAAGAGAGUUUUAGUGGACUAUUUGAGCCUUUGAGUCAUUAAUCAUUUUUGUUACUAAAAUUAUUUUAGACUCUCUUGUGUUUUAGUAUUAGAUAUUUUUGGGUCUAGAAAUCCUUUCUUAAGACAUUUUUGUACUCUUUUCUUCGUAGUGGAAUUCUGCUCUUUCUCCUCUUGUGAACGCAUGCCAAUUUGACUAAAUUAAGUAAAUUUCUGUAUUCCUAUUUUAUUUAUUUUUUACUUUGUUAAUUGUCCUUUGGGGUUACUAAGAAUCCUUUCAUCAAUUUUCUAGAGCCAAACCUAACAAAAUGUGCUUGUAAAAUUCAACUGUGAACCCAUCUGAUCCAGGUGUUUUACCCACUGGCAUAUAGAACACAGCUUGUUUAAUCUCUUCUUAUGUGACAGGAGCCUGCAACAUGUCCACAUAUUCAUCCUUUCACGGGUUUUGUUAUAACUUCGUGUAGCUUCUUUGCAUGCUCAAAAUGAUCCACUUCAGGUUGGCCAAAUAGCUGUUUAUAGAAGUCAACAGCAAUAGCCUGCACUUGUUCAUGCUCAAUAAUAGUGACCCCAUUGUCAUUUUACAGUGAAGGGAUAGAAUUCCUGGCUGUAUAUGUAGUUACUUUCCGAUGAAAGAAAGAAGUAUUUUUAUCAUCACAUUGCAAACAAGUAACUCUAGAUUUUUCUUUAUAGAAUUCCUCUUCAUCUCUAAGUAAAGCAAUAUAUCCACAACUAGUGUUUUCUAUUGCUGGAUCAAUAACUCAUCAAAACAAUUUUCAUGUGAAAGUGUUUGAACCUAAGUUAGUUGCUCCUUCUUCUAAAUUACCCUACUGGAAAUCUGAGUAUAAUAUUGUUUAUUCAGAUCUUUAAGCUUGCAUUUGAACUGCUUCAACCUGUAACACAAUUCCUAUACAGGAUUAUUGCUUCUAUGUACAUCUUCCCCAUGCCAUGCCUAUGCUAACAACUCUAGAAAUUGUGCAUUUUUCAUCAAAUAACUAUGAAAUUUAAAAGGCUUGGGUCCAAAAUUUAUUUUAUUAUCUAAAGUUACACUAGCUGGAGAAUGAUCAGAUAUCCCAGGGGCAAGAAAUUCCACAUCAAAUCUAGAAAAUUUCCUAAACCAAGCCUCAUUACCAAAUGCUCUAUCAAUUCUACUAUAUCUCCUAGUUUGUCUUCCCCUUUUGUUGUACCAAGUGUAGUAAAAAUCUUUACCACGGCAUUCCUCUAUAUCCAAUUCAUUAAUGCAGUCACUGAAUUCCGCCAUAGCUCCAUGAUCAAAAUCCACACUCCCUAGCCUUUCAGAAGAAUACCUUAAUAUGUUGAAAUCUCCAAGGAUAAGCCAAGGGGUAUUUCUAACAGCUCUGCAAAUAGUCAGUAAAUGAUUCCACAAACCUCUUCUUUCUUCAAGUUUAUUCUUGCCAUACACCAUAGUGAUAACUGUUAUGGAGAAACACCUCAAGAGAGUCCAUCAAAGAGCCCAAUAUGUAAGUCAGGAACCCAACUCUGACCCAAAAGUUUAAGCUAUUAGGUCUUGAGCCCUUACUUACAUAUUAACCGCUCUUUCUCCAUCUCUCAGACCGAUGUGGGAUACAACCCCUUAUUCAUGAACCUAACAAAUCUCCCCCUUCAUGAGUAACCCUCACAUUAAACCCAAAUUUACAAGCUCUUGUUUUUCCGAGCCCAUUUUAAUACUCAACACAAGCCCACCUUAUCACUUAAGGUCACCUCUCUUCCAAACAUGGACCCACUCUUCUUCAACAUCCAAACUAUAUUUUGGACCCCUGCCAACCCUUGGCUUCUUGGUCUAACAUCAAGCGGAACCCCUGCCAAACCCAUGGCACACCUGGUCUAAUACCAACUAAACUCUUUGGCACUUCGAUACACCAUCAAGAAGAGAAUUUUCACCGGUCCAACUCCGAGAAGAAUCCACUUGCCCAUGAGUAACCCAGUUUUGCAACCUGAAGCUCUGAUACCAAUUUGUUAGGGAGAAACACCUCGAGAGAGUCCACCAAAGAGCCCAAUAUAUAAGUCAGGAACUCAACUCUGACCCAAAAGCUUAAACUAUUAGGUUUUGAGCCCUUACUUAUGUAUUAACCACUCUUUCUCCAUCUCUCGGACCAAUGUGAGACACAACCCCUUACUCAUGAACCUAACAUUGAUACCAAUUUGUUAGGGAAUUGGCUUAAUUUCUUUUAUGUAGAAUUCUUGUUUUGUGUGGAAGUAACUAGUUUCCUAAUUGGUUUUAGUUACUUGAAGUAGCAGCUAAAAAAUAUUCUAUUUAGUUUAGAAUUAGAAGUUAUUUCCUAUUCUGUACAAGUCUAGGAAUUAGAAUUGAUUUCCUAUUGUUAUUUGGAUUUUGGCCAAAUAAUGUUCUCUAUAAAUAGAUGUGUUGGCAUACUACACAAGGGACACACAAGGAGACACAAAAGCAUCAUGUAGCCUUAUACAUGGGGUGAGAGAGGGUUCUUGGGAGAUGAAAGAUGGUAUACAAAGGUUGGGUUUGGAUUCAAAUUGUAUUCUUGUCUAGGGUUUUCCUCUCAUAAUAAAGAAUAGGUUUCUCUCCGUGGACGUAGGCUCAAUGGUGGAGGCGAACCACUAUAAAUAUUGUAUGUCGUUUAUUUUUCAUGCUUGUGACUUGUUCUUCAUUAAAUUGUUGUGCACUUGAUAUCUCAAUAGUUGUUUAUUCCGCGCUUGGAUCCUAACAAUAAUAACGAAUCAUUGCUAGUAUCCACAUAAUAGGAAAUGGAUUGUUCAUGCGAGGCAAGUAAGGAGCACUGAUGUACAGGUUUCCAACAAAACCAGAUUCUACGAACAACUUGGGUACUCCCAUUAUGGAACAAAUACCAUUGGGGAAACAGUAAUCGGAAAAAGAUAUACCAAAAGUUACAUCUCAUGCCUCUUUGAAUGAUUGUAAAGUAUUUGGAUUUAUGAUGCAAAACCUAUAAAUAUCAAUAUAGGUUGGAUUGCCAUAUUAUCAAAUUAUAUGUUUUCUUUGUGCAAAUAAAAGACAAAAAAACCAAAAAAGAUGGAAGAAAAUUUGAGAAGUUUAACUGAAUGGAAAGAAAAACUCGACCAUGUUUAAAUAUCUAACAUAAUUGACGUUGGGAGUUUCGGUGAUGGAAAGGAAGGGAAACGAAAAGGAAAAUAAAAUAAAAUAAAGAAAAUAAAAUAUCAAAAAGAAAAGAAAAAAUUUAGAUGUAAUAUAAGAUAAAAGUAUCCAAAUUAUGAGGAUACUCUAGUCAAAGAACACUACAAAGAGGUAAAAUGCCUAUUUAGAAAUUUGAAGGGGUAAAGUGCAAACUGACCUCAAAUGUCAUCGGGGUUUAAUGCAAUUAACCCUAUCUAAAAGGAUUUGUGUUUACUGAGCUAACGAAAAGUAAAAUUAAAUGGUUUCAUUUUCAUUUAUUUAUUGAAAAUUACUGAGUUGUAUUACAAAUGUUUUAUCUACAUGCUGCCUUGAGAAAGAUUGCCUUUUACAAAAACGUAAACGAAACCCAAAAUUUUGAAGUUCGAAGUUAGUCGAGCAUUCCAACCGCCCCCCCCCACAAGAAAAAGGAGGUUAAUCAAGCUUUUUAGCUUCCCAAUCGGCAUUUGUAAUUGCUAAAAGUCUCUCAAAUCCUUUUUUUUUUGUCGAAGGUCAAAAGUCCUUCAACAAUUUUUGUUUAUUAGAAGAGUGGGUGCUUAAAUAUUUGACCUGUUGAUUUUGUUUUGAAACUCUGACCGAUCAAUGACUCGAUUGAAGUCCUGGUUUAAGGAACCCAUCUAAAAAUCGGGUGACGUCAUCAUGAUGUCAUAAAUAUAUUUAAUUUUAAAAUUAAUAUGCUAUGUAAAAUUUGUAAAAAUGUAAUAAUCUUCAAAAAGGUAUGUUCAUGUAUAUUUGAUGUUUCUAAGAUAUUUUACAAGAAAAUACAACUAAAGUAAUACAAUCAAGUAGCAAUUUGUAUAAUUUAAUGCAUAUUCAACAAGUUUAGAACUAAAUUAGAGGACUAAUUUGAAAAAUAAUACUAGAAUUUAGGACAAAAGCUAUAAAUUAUAAAAUUUUUUAAGCAUGUUUAUAGUUUUCUAUCACUCUAGGGGUCGAACCAUAAAAUUGACAAAACUUUCAAGCCCCAAAGCUGAUUUCCCUAGUUCUUUCCAUUCUUUUUCUCUCAUAAUCUCAUUGGCCACCAUCGUCCUCUCCAUCUUGUCCUUGUCCUUUCUUCUCCAAACGUGUGAGGAGCCUAAAAUUAUUUUUAAAAUUUUCUUCUAAUUUUGAAAAAUUAAUUUAUAUUUUUUUUAAUUUUACUUUACUUGCUUAUCUGCUAGCCUUAAUUUGAUAGUGAUUUUAAAGGUUAAGUUAAGAUUUUUCUCUUUUUCUUUUUAUAUUUUAGUGCAUGUUAAGUUUUGUAGAUUAUUAAGGUAGUUUAAUCGACUAGUAAGAUGUGUGCGUUAAAUUUGGUGGACAAGAACGGGUGUGGUACUAGAGGGAUUAUAUGAUUAGAAGUGUUAAAAGUGUAAUAGAGAAACCCUAGUUAUCUUGGAGAUUAGAAACACAAGAGAGACAAAGAGAUAGGUUUGAACCAUUUGCUGCCAUUUGUCACUCAUCCCUCAAAGUUUGACUAAGACCCUUUGACCAAAGACUUGUCCUUGCUCUUAUCUUGGAAAAUGGAAGAAAAAUCCAUCAUCUUUCUUCCUCCCUUUGGCCGACUCCCUUAAGCAAGAAAAGAGAGAAAGUUUUUUCAAGUUUCAUCUUGAUUCCUAGCUAGAUUUUGUGGGAAAAUCAACCUCAAGCCUUAAUCCAUCCAUAGAAGGUUGCAACAAGGAACGAAGGAACUUGGUGAGGUGUGUGUAUUAAAUUUGGUAGAAAAGAGUGGGUAUUAAGUAAGAGAAAGUAUGCGAUUAAAAGUGCUAAAAAUAAAUUAGUGAAUCAUAAGUUAAAACAAAAAUACAAGAGAGGCAAAGAAAUAGGCUUGAACCGACUCGUGCCGUUUGUUACCAUUGAAAACACCACUCGACCAAGACUUUCUUUCCCUAAUUUUUUUAUUUUUCUUUUAUUUUUCUUUCCCUAAUUUUUUCCUAGGGUUGGCCAAAAUUAUUGACCAAGAAAGAGAGAAAAAGAAAAAAAAAGAGAGGAAAAUAGGUGAUUGCCGAGUGUUGGCAAUCAAGACCCUCUUUGACCAAAAGCUUUCUUCGGUCUUUAUCUUUCAUAUCAUCAAAAUUCCUUUCAUUUUUCUUCCAUGUUGGCCGACCAAAGAGAGGGAAAAAGAGAGAAAGAGAGCUUCAUUUUUCAUCUUGAUCUUGCCUUGAUUGAGUGAAGAAUCAACAAGAAUCACUAGUUUAAUCCGAACAAAGUUACAACAAAGUGCCAAGGAGGCUUGUAGUGGAGUUAUUUGGAUAGGAAAGCUUUGGUUUUUUCAUUUUCUCCUAGAGGUUGAAGGUAUUAAGUUGGAAAACUUUCUUUCUCUGUCUUAUCUUGCAUUUUAUUUGGGUAGAUGACUAGAAUAUAGAAGUUUUAUAGAAGAUAACCGAGAUUUGUGAAGAAUGGUGAAUUUUCCAGCUUUGUAUUAUAUUUUUCAGCCAUGAUAUGAUGGUAUCUAGCCUUAAUAUGAACUUGUAUGAAGAUUUAUAGCUUUAACGUGACUUUUUACCUUCCAAAUAAGAAUUUCCAGCUUUAGUUCCAAAUUUCCAGCCUUGGUAGAGAAUUUUUCAGCUUAGAUAUAUGUUGUUUAUAUGCUAGAGAUAAGUUUAAAUUAGUUAGUUUUGUAACCUAGUAUAAGAACCCCUUUUAGCUUAUAACUUGUGGAGUUGAUUUGGUCUGUUUUGUCAUGAAACUUAGCUUGAAAAGUUUGAGGAAAGGUUAAGAAAAAUAGGGGAGGUGCUGCCCGUUUUUCUUCCUGUGGGAUAAGUGAGUAAAAGUGGAAGUAGAGGUGUGAAUUUAGGGCAUUUUGUCUUCCUCUUGUAUAUGACUUUUCUCAAAACACUUGUUACAAUCUAUUUCUUUGCAUGUGUGUUAGUUUUGAGCCAAAACAAAGAAGUUUAAGAAGGGGAAAAACCUCAUUUUCCAAACUAAUAACUUGCUGGAAAAUUUUCACAGGAAGUCCUGCGUAGCUUUGGGAAAUUGACUAUAACUUCAUAUAGGAAAGUCGGAAUUGAGUUCCGUAUGUAGCAUUUGAAACUAGACUCAUAGGGACUUCAACGGCAUAAAAGUCAAGGUUUGGUUCAACUCCUAUAAAUACCAGCAAAUCUACAAACUUUCUUCAAAACCAUGAUUGUCCUGUUUUUGCGCAUGAGACAACAGUGAGUUUAAACUAAAAUUUGACUAAACUAUGAGCUGAAUUUCAUGAAGAUUCUUCUAAAGACUGUUAGUGCUUCGAGUCUAUUUUUUAAUGGUGUAAGUUUUGUAAUUUUUUGACCUAUGGAACUCAAGUUAUGCUUUUCAAAGGAUGCCACCAAAGCUGAGAAUUUUGUCAAAUGAAUUGAGUGGGACUUGGAAAACUUUUCUGGGUCUUAAACCUUAAUUUGGUGUGAUUUUGAAUGCUUAAAUUGCUCUCCUCAAUUUUACUUGUGUUGGAUUUUAUCUUUAAGUCUCGAGCUCAAAGUGAGAAGUAUAUGGAAUACCUAGGAAUACAAGACGUGUAUGUUUUGGCUAGUUGAAUCUACUAAGUUUAAACCUAUUAUGAUUGUGAAUCUUGCUUCAAGGUUUUGGUAGCGAUAAAGUUAUUAUCCAGAGAGUUGACGUUUAAUCUACUGAUACCGGUGAGUGUUUCUUACAUGUUGUGCUUCCAAUGACUAUGUGAAAUGUUGUGAAUGUUUGCUUGGAUGUUAAACGCUUUUCAAUGAUUGUUAAAUGGAUUUUUAAUGGACGAGUGUGCACUUUAUCGCACUCGACCUAAGUGAAUGCGAAUUUUUAAUGAUCAAAUGAUUGAAUGUUACUUGUGCAUGAAUGUAAGCCUUAGACUGAACUGGGCCCUUGCCCUUCGUUGCUAGUCGACUCGAGCCAGAAGCAAACUCAAUCGGGCGGCUGGUGACCCUAAAACAGUAUUUGGUAUACUCGAGUAUGACCACGAAGUCAGGUGGAGAACUGGCCAGUGAAUGCAAUGCAAUAAAUGAAUGAAAUGAACACUGAAGGAGUUUUCACUUUUAAUGUUUUCAAAUGUCGGAGGAAUAAGGGAAAUGAUUGGCGACUGAAUGAUUGAAUGAAUGCCUUCAAGUGAACACGUAUCCUUCCAAUGAUUAAAUGUCUGUUCUUGAAUGACUAUUUAUUACUGUGCAAAGUGUGCAAAUUGUUCAAUGCAAUACUUCCCUAGUUUAUCUACCUAAUUGCUUGUUUGAGAACCUCAUUGGGCUUUUAGCUCAUUCCUUUAGUUUUUGUUUUUCUUACAGGAGUGGAGGCCGGAGCAAUUAAGCAUGAAAUAGUGUGUAUAAUCUUCAUGUACUUGUACAUUUGUAGAUGAAAUGUAUUUGGGAUCUUUGUUAAUGGAAUCUUAUGUUUCACUUUUGGAUUGUAAGUUAAGUUGAAAUUCUUGGAUGAAUGGAACUUUUAUGUUAAUCUAGAGGCGUAAAAGACUAUUUCAAGAAUGUUAGUGAGUGAGUACUGGCGAGAGUUAGGCAGGCGGUCCACCAAACCCUUAGGUCACCUUAGGGGAAGUUGGGGUCGUCACAAGAUGCAUUUCUCCGUUUGUUUCUUUUCUUUUUUUUUCACCCCUUUUUCACUUUUGUAUCUUUGCAUUUCUUUUUCUAUUUACCACAUGAAAAUCAUCAACACUAUUUUUUGGUUGGGCGAAAAUCAUCAACUCACAUUAAGUUUCUUCUGUCAAAUGCUAAAGUUGGGUCUGCCAUAGGAAAACGUGGCUCAACCAUAAAUGAUUUCUAGACACAGUCUGGAAAAUCAUCAACUUCUCUUCUUCUUUUUUUCUCAAUUCUUUUAAUUUUAACUUUAAAUCUUUCAAUAUUUGUGCUGGAAUAGCCAUAUGUGACUAUAACACUGCUAUUGCCGUCAAAUAUGCACUCAAGGAUCGAUAUCCAUGCUGAAAAUUUUGGGAGAAAAAUAGCAGAAAUUGGAUGUUAGAAAAAAAAUCGGGUAAAAAUAGUAGAAAUUGGAUGCUCAAAAAGAAUUGAUUUUCCCAGUUGUUCCAAGUUUUCGAUCAAACCCAAAUUUUGGCCAGUUCUGACUGAGUCUUUAUCACCCGAGUUUUUGAACAAACUCGCACUGGACAUGUCUCCGGAUUCCAAUUCAACGGCCGGUCCGAUCCGAGUUUAAAAACAUGACUGUUGAGGUGUCGUGCAGGGCCAUGGUGAGCGUGAGUAGGGAUGGCAAUGGACGGUCACCCGCCCUGCGAGGGGCUAACGGGGAGGGGGUUGGGGCGGGGGGAAUUUUUCUCCCCCCACUUAGAAACCAGGCGGGAGGCGGGGGAGUGUACCUCCGCCCCAUCCCCCGCUCCGCCACCCGUUUUAAAAAAAUAAAUAUAUAAUAUAUAUAUAUGUAUAUAAUUAUAUAUAAUAUAUACUUUAAUUAGUUACAAACUUAUGAUAAUGAUAUUAUUAGUUAUAUGUAUUAUAUAAUGUCUAUUAGUAUAUAUAAUAUAAUUGAUAUUAUUAAUUAUACUAAUAAUUAUAUAUGUGUACUAAUACAAAUUAUUAAUUGGUUAUACUAAAUUUACUAAUACAUUUAUACUAAAUCCCUAGUUACACUUAAUACAAUAACAAUUUUUUCUUAAAAAAAGCACAAGCACAAUAAUGAAUUAGCGAUUGUAUUUGUGUCAAGAGUGAAAACUUGACUACUUUAGUUAUAUUUAUUUUAUCAUGUUGGAUUGUAUUCAAAUAAUUUUUGUUUGAUUGUUUUUAUAAGUUUCAAUUGUAAAAUUACAAUGAAUAAUAAUUUGAUGAUGUGUUGAUAUUUUAGUACUUGAUUAUUUGCUAAAAUUUAACUAUAAUAAAAUUAUAUAACAAAAUUUUAUUAACCCCGCGGAUGGAAGGAGGCGGGACGGGGGGCAGGGGACGGGGGAUGGGGCGGGGGCGGGGGGAAUUUGUAGGUAGUGGGACGGGGGAUGGGGGAGGGGUCCCCCGCCCCAACCUCGCCACGUUGCCAUCCCUAAGCGUGAGCAGCACUACAAUUGUUACUUUCAUUCAUUAGGAACUACACUACUUUUCAAGCGCUAGCUUUCGAUACCAUUUUCUUUCAUUUUACUUCACAUCUUGUGUAAUUGAAAUUUUAUCAGUUCAACAAAGUGCUUAUGACCAGAGUUUCAAACCUUUUUGCCUUAUAUAUUUCAAAGGGUCUUCCUAAUGGAUGUCAAUGGCACUCUUUAACGUACCUAUAUUUCACCCAACUUAUCAUAUAUAUAGUGAAUUUCAUUCUGUACCCUUUAAUUUUAGUUCGAUUCUCACUUGCAUCCUUAAACUUCAAAACGGAACACAAAAAUUCCUAAACUACAAAAUCUAUUUCACUUAACUACAAUCUUUGACAGAAUGGAGAAAGCUAACACAAAAGUUAUCACAUUCUGUUAACUAAUUGUUAUACACAAAAUAAUCCAAAUUUAUUGAGCACAUAAAUGUAAAUUCAUUAGACCAAAAAGAAUAAAGCCUCUCAAUCCUUCAAAAAAAGGUAAGUUUUCUUCUUUUUUUUUCCUUUUUUCUUUUGCCGUUUCUUCUUCUUCAUUCUUCUUUUACUUGUUCAUUUUCUAUUUCCUCUUCUUCCUUUAUCUUCUUCCUCUCAGGCUCAAAAGAAAGUCUCGACUCAAUUUCUGGUCUCCAAUCCUAACAAUAUCUAACCUCACAUUGAAUGAUAAACCAUUCAAAAAAUCUGGAUGUGCCAUCUUAUCGACUUAAUCUCCAAUCUCUAAAAGAUUACAUAAAUUUCCUUAUCUCUAGGAAUUGAAGAUACAAGUGGUUUCUUGUCAGCGAGUAUAGAUUGGGAUAUUAAUGUGAAGCUUUUUUAGUUUUUAAUACAAUUAUUGAAGAUUGAUUUGCCAGUUUCUCAAGAUCCGACUUGAAAAAUUGCCGCCGCUAAGUUCCAUGAUAGUAUGAAGGCUCCAGUUCACUUCACAGAGAUAAUGCCGAUUUGAUGAAGCAACAAAAGAUACUGGAUCAAAUUGGCCGGAAUUGCCAAUUCCAUCAAGAUUACUAGAAUUGGUUUAUGAAAAACAAAAACAAAUAAUUCAUGACACCAUUUUUACGUCAAUUUCAUUAAUGACUGAAAAGUUUCUUUUUUCUGCAUCUUCACUAUUGCAUCACUACUUUGGUUAAGAUUUUUUUUUUAAUUGAGAGUUCUUGGUUAGCAGAGGUGUUUAAGGCAUAAUGAAAAUGGGUUAUACAAAAUUAUGUCAGUUUUGAGAAUACUUGGACUAUUUGUUGGAAAUUGAAGGUAACAAGGGAAAGAACAAGGGCUGAUUAAUUUGAAGGUAGAGAUGGAAGGAGCUGGCUUCUAAUCAUGGGCAGUAUAGAGGACGGAAUCAAAAUUUUUUGUCUUUGAUUUCCUUAUGGAUGCAAUUUGCGACAAAAUAUUUCUUGGCUUUACUUCAGUGGCAGAGCCAGAAAAAAAUUUUAGUGGAGGCAAAAAUAACACUCAAAUUUUUUAUCUACUAUUUUUCUAAUUUUUUAAGCAAAAAAAAAUAAAUUCACCAACUAGUACAAAUGAUAUAUAUAUUCCAUGAAAAACAUAAAAAGACAAACUCAAAAUUAUUAAUGUAAUAAUAAUUUUAUUUCAAAAACAAACUAAGUUAUUUACAAUUGUUUACGACGAGUUUUCAUAUUUUGAUAACGGUUUACAACUUUCUCAUUUUUAACUUCACGAAAUAUAUUUUUCUCAAUAUAAGUAACUAAAUAAUCAUUCAUCCAAAUGUCUCCCAUUCUAUUUCGUAACCGAUUCUUCACCAUAUUCAUAGCUGAAAAAGCCCUUUCUACUGUAGCUGUAACAACAGGCGAAAUCAAAGCCAACUUUAAAAGCAUAUAAACCAAUGGAUACACAAUAUCUCUCUUAGUCUCCACCAACCUUUGAGCUAGAUCAGAGAUUUUUCUUAAAUUGAGAAAUUCCUUAGUUGAUUUCAAGUCAUUAAUAUAAGUAUCCAAUUCAGUAUCAAGUGCAAGAAUAUCCACCUUAGAAAACUCACAAGCUUGGUUGUGGAAGAAAAAGUGGCUCUCAGUUGUGGCCCUGUUGGGGGGAAAAUGGGGGACCAGACUCCAGAGGAGGAAAGGAAAAUUGGGGAGUGGGAACAAAGAAAGUAAGUGAUGAUUGGAUGAAGUGAUAAAAAGAAAGAGUAGUUAGCCUAUGUGUAGAAGAAAGAGGAGCCAUGGUUAUGAAGGGAAAAUGGGGGACCAGAGGAGGAAAGGGAACUUGGGGAGUGGGGACCAAAAGAUAUGACUGAUAUAAUUGGUACUUGGCCCUGUUGGGGGAAAAAUGGGGGACCAGAAGAGAAAAGUGAAUGAUAUAAAUUUUGUGACCCAUUCUUUCACAUUUUUUCUAAAAAAAUUCUGGGUGCACCUUUAAAAUUAUGUCAAAAUUGUAAAAGUAUUAUAAGAAUUUAAGGGGGGGCAGUGGCCACCUUAAAUCCGCCCCUGCUUUACUUGCAGGGAUGGAGAAAGACGCAUAUGCAUUCUGGUGUUAGAUCUAUUGAUUGAAGCUAUUGGCAACUGUGGUAGAUCUGGAUUUGGAGAAAAAGGAAGAAAAGGAAAAAGAAAAAAAAAAGAAGGAAGAAAAGGGAAAGCAAAAAAGAAAAAAAAUAGAAAAUAUUGCUUAAUUUCAAAAUUUUUAAGGAAGUAUUCUUUGGGAUUUUAAUUUUACAUUUAUGUCCCUAAUAGAUUUGAUUUUUUUAAGUUACAAUAACAAGUUAACGGAAUAUGCCAAUUAUUUUGUUAGUUUUCUAUAUUCCGUCACGGAUUGUACUCAAGUGAGAUGAAUUUUGUAAUUUAGGGAGUUAAAUGUCCCAAUUUGAAGUUUGAGGAUACAAGCGGGAGUUAGGUCAAAGUUAAAAGGUGCAAAGGGGGAAUUAACCCUCAUAUAUAUACACACACUAACAAUUAUCACCCUAUAUUACAAUUAUACAUUUUUUCUUAAUUAACUUUAUUAUUUCAAAUAUCUAACACCUGAAGUAUAUUUUAAAGAAUAUCCAAUAGGCAUCCCUAUUUCAAAAGUGAAGUUUCCAGGUAUAUACUCAAAGCAUUAAAUACAUAUAAGUGCAACCUUCUUCUACUAUUAGCACAAAUUUUGCCAUGAGAAAAGACGAGAAGCAAAAGAACCCUUGUAUUAAUUUUCUUUUUCUUUUUGUAACACUUUGAUUAUUUGGUAAAACAAUUAAAUAUUUAAAAUUAAUAAAAUUAUUGUUUAACAAAAAUAUCUAACCUCUAAAGCCGUUUAAUUUGUAUAUAAAUUAUGCAUGAAUUUUUUUUGUAAGUAAAAGGAUUUGAACUUAAAAUCUCUUACUUACAACCCCUCCCGCAUGAAAUGUUUAUUGCCUACUUUGCUGAAUUCUUAAACUAGUAUAGUACUCCCUCCGCCCCAUAAAAUUCGUUGUUUUUGGGAGUACGCGCAAUUGACUUACAGUGACAUUAGUAGAAAAGAAAAUUUUUAUUUGAUGUAUUGAUAAGUGGUGGGCCACAUUGGUGGGUGUUGAAUUACGAGGUUUGGCAAUUUAAUUGGUAGCAGAUUAUCUAGUUAAUUAAAUAUCGAACCCUUGAUAUCUAAUUAAGCAACAUAACCAUGAACAAUUAAUUUAGGAAAUAUACAAAUACUAAUGAAUAUAUAAAUCAGUAAAAAUAAAUUAGUUCUCACAAUUAUUGUUGAAUCAAAGUCUCAAUUAUCUUUUAACUAGAACAACACCUUAAUCACUACUCGUGAAAAAAUCCAACCAAGAAAAAUAAAAAUAGAGCUAGAGUUUAUGUUCUCGAGAAUAGAGAGAAAAACGAAGAAGAAAAGUUCAAGUCUUGAGAGAUCUCGAUUUCUUCCUCUUCUCCUAUAUUUGUUCUAGCCUAAAAUUAUGUCUAAGGUAAUUUCCUAAAAAGGAAAAAUAUCUUUUAUAAAGCGUUAAUUCUACUUUGUCCCCCCAAACUUUGAAUGAUCACCCACUUUAGUUUCUAAACUUCAAAAUGGAACACUUAAGUCCAUAAACUUAUAAAUUGACAUAUAAAUUGGGACACUUAAAUCCCUAAACCCUUAUAAAAUAGGACACUUUGACCACCACGGCAUUCAAGAUUCUGUUAACAAUUUUCCUUAAUUGGGAGGUAUUCAUAAGUUUAGGGACUUAAGUGUCCCAUUUUGAAGUUUAGGGACUAAAGUGAGUAAUCAUUCAAAGUUUGGGGGGACAAAGUGGAAUUAACCCCUUUUAUAAACUACCUCGUUAGAUAAGAUAGUUGUUGAAGAAGUACUAUUAGAAAAAUAAGCACGUGUUUAAAACUCCUAAACGUCGACACUUUAGAUAAAGAGCAACACCAAUUGUGGCCCCCACAACUCUUCCAAAGAUAAAACAAUUAUUAGCUCCCGAAAUUUCCUGGCUUCACUGGCUUGACGAACACGCCUGCAUCCUUUCUCAAUAAAUCUUCUGAAAUUUCCUCUUUUAAACUUCUUUUAAUCAAGAACCUCUGAAUUCAGCAUCCAAGUUAAAUUAUGAGAAAAAUCACGAGAUUAGCACAAUAAUUUGCCAUAAUUACAAAAGUAAUUUCUCAAGUAAAACACUUAUUAAAUUCACCAACACACAUGAAUGAUAAAGAUAAAAUUUCAUUAAAAAAAAAAGUGGAUUGACUUCUCUAAGAUGAUAAUUAAUUUAGGACAAGAAAAAUGACAAACAUGACAAAUGUCAUGGGAGUGAGGGAGUAAUGUUCUCUCAGGAUUAUUAUUUCAGACCCAUACAAUGUUACAUGUACAUGCGUACUCUCUUUCACUGUUAUUGAAGGAAAUUAAACCAAGCUGUAUUUAGUUUCCUAAUCCUUUUAGUUUAUUGUUUUGGUGUCUAUGUUUAGUUUCUGUAUUGGUUUAAGAAAUCUCAAGUUAAUUUCCAAAUAAGUUUCAGUUUACAAUUGUUUUUGUUUUACGAAACUUGUAGUUUAUAAAUACUACCAGUUUAGUAGCUUGUUACUUGGAGAGUUGAGUUGAGUCUUAAAAAAUAGGUUUGAGAGAAAGUCUCAUAGUUAAGAUUUAUAAGUUGUCGUGAGUGAAAAGCUAUGACUUAAUAUUUGUUUUUAUUAAGUUUUAAUUUAAUAAAUAGUUGAGUAUUUGUUUGUGUGUUUAAUCUCUUCCUCUUCCCACAUUUUUUUAUAUGUGCUAAAAUUGCUUUCGUUGUGCACCUAUUUUUCAUGCCAACAAAUGGUAUCAGAGCUUUAGAUUCAAAAGUUUGAUCCUGGAGUGUUUGUAGUGUCGGGAGGGUUUACAGAGUUUGUUUACAUAGAGGAGCUUAUACCAUAAAGGGUACAGAGAUUGUGGUAGAGUAUUCAUUUAUUGAAAAUUGGACUAUGAGAGUUGUUCUUGGAGUACUCAUUCGUUGAUUGAAAUUAGAAAAAAGUGACUCUAAUUGGAUAGAAGUCUACAAAAGGGACUUUAUCGUGAUUGUUGAUGUUGUGUAGUGAUCGAAGAAAAAGGUCCUAUCAGAUUUGUUGAUUGCCAUCAAUUGUCCAGAGACAUUACGAAAACUUGACAAAAGGGAGAGAAAAAUUUAUUCAGGCAUAUGAAUUGUUAAAUAAUGGUAGAGUUUUAAAGAGGUUUGAUUGAUGGUGAACAAUUUGCUAUAUUGAUUCCUAUAAGGACAAAUAGACAUGCAUAUGUUGGUUGGGUUUUAAAAGUGAAAAAAUAUCUCAAAUAAUGUAAUUUGGGUGAUAUUCUUUGUUGGGUUCACGCAAGUGAGUUGCUAAAAUAUAAUUUCAAGAAGAAGGCACGAUUAUUCUUUCAAGUGAUGCGUAAAACAAUAGCAGAAAGUAUUUACCAAACUUUUGUUCAUCGUACUAACAUAUCUUAGAGAUUUUGGGAGGAUAUUUACUAUGUUUUGCAGACAAUUGAGAAAAAAAUAUGCUUUCAUAUCGAAGUCUGAUUAUUGGUAUUGGUUUGUGGAUUUUGCGAAUGAUAGAUUUGUUGAUAAUAUGGAUGAUAUUGAAAAUUUUAAAUCAGUUGAUAGUUUUGAUUUAUAUACCUUGUUUAGAGAAAUUGGGAGUGAUGAAUUUAUUGAAGGAAAAGAAUAUAGUAAUUUGGCAAAUGAGGAAGAAAAGUCUCACUUGGUAUGCAAAGAAAAGGAAAUUGUUAUUGAAAAAAUCGUUAGCUUUGUGAGAACCCGAAAAUUUUCUUAUUUUUAUAGAAUAUUACUGGAAUAUUUAAAUGAUUAUUCACCCAUUUUCUUCGAAUUAUUUAUUUCGAUCAUUUUAAAUCCAUUUAUAUGGAACGACGCCUCUUUAUAUUUUUAAAGCAUUUUGUUGAAAAAUUCGCUUUUCGAAAAUUUGUUUAGUCCGGAACAACGAGUGCACGUUUUUCUAGGCUAUACUUGAAUCGGGAGUGUAUUAAUAUUGGAGAAUUAAGAACGAUCAAUAAUAGAUUAAGAAAGAUUAAUGGAGGAAUUAAUACUCAAUUCACGUGAGGACUCGUAAAAUUAUUAUUUUUAAAACCCCUAAUUUUGGCUCAAUUAAUUAUUUAUUUGGAAUUUUGCCACGAAUAAUAUUUUCUAGCCUUAUUAGACCUAAGUGCAUGGUUUUAUUGUUUCGUUAUAUUUUUAAAGUGUCUCGUUUCAAAAAUUAUUUUCUUAUAAGCUUGUUUAGAGAAAAGGUGAAAACGUGUCCAAACACUUUAGCCAAUUGGGAAUACAAUAAGCUCGAAAAUUUGAGACAUAUACAAUGGUCCUAAAAUAGGUAAAUUUAGGUUUAAGUACUCAAGUGAUAGUUAGUGGUACGAUCGUUAUAAGAAUUUCUCGAAGGUUUCAUUUUAUUGCGCCUAAAUUGGAAAUACGUGUUUUCACGUGCGCGCUUAAUUGAGGGACUUUGGACCAUUAUUUUGGGACAAUUAAGAAUGAAUAAUAUUUAUAUGAAUGUAAGUACCCUAGAGGUUUAGUGCACUAGUGCAGCAAACUUAAGAGGAAUCGAGCACAAAACGCGCGCGUAUACGCACCUUUUGCGGUUGAUUUUUGUGCCCUUAAAAUAUUAGACGUCAAACUUCAUUUGUACGCAAAGGAAUCAGAUCAAAACAUCCCUCUUUUCCUCUCAUUCUGGCCGAGCAACAGCUGAAGCAAAACACCUUCAAAUUUUGCAAAUUUCACCUCCAAAUCUUGUUCAAACCUCCACUAAAUUCAACCAAAAUUUAACUACACUUAACUCAACACUUGGGAAGUCCAUCUAGCUGCAAAAGAAAGGAGCUCUCCACGGUUUUCUUCAGGCUUCAAAGGGCCGAAAAUUCUGACUUGACCAACCAUCAAAGUAGGUAAUGAUCCAAUACCUUAAACUUGUCCUAUGGAGGUUAAAUUAUACAUAUGAGCUUGAAUCUUCACAUGGGUAGCUAGUAUUGUUAGAAAAUUUUGAUGGUGAGCUCUAUGAACUCCCACCUCUGUGUUGAUAGCUGAUUUCAUGCUUGAUGAUGUCUAUAAUGUUAGAUUAGUGCUUAAACUAGUGGAUUAUUGGUGGAAAAUUGAUGGAAACUCAUGACGGGUGCAAAGGCCAAAUCUGACCAUUUUGCCCCUAUUUUGUUCGGCCACUUUAAUGCAGAAAUUUGAGGAUUUAAUGGCUUGAUUGUGUUGUUUACAUGUUGUAGUAGUUGUAUAAAAAUUUUCAUUGAAAAAUAUUGACUUUUGGUUGGUCAAAUGAAUUUAUUUCCCAAAGCUAGUAAUCUGGAAACUGUUUUCGUAAUGACCAGACCGGAGUUCGUAUUUCGGCCAUAACUUUGUCCUCCAAUGUCAAAAUUGAGUGCUGUUGGUGGCAUUUGAAACUAGACAUCCACACCUUUCCAACGGUGUAAAAUGCACAUUCUGGUUCCAUGUGUGUGAGCCGCACCACUCUUCUGAAUUCAGCUGUUCUGUUUCUCUGUUCCGUUGGAACAAUUUGAUGAUGCUGCAACUUUAGGCUUAAUUUCGAGCCAGUUGCAUGCUGAAUUUUAAAACGAUUUCUUCUGUGAAAUUAUAGCCCUAUGAAUGUAGUUUCUAAAACUAAAAACCAUGCUCAAAUCCGAGUUAAAUUGAGUGAGUGAUGAUCAAAAUACGGUGACUGCCUUGUUCUUGAAAACCUUGGAUUUAGACAGAUUUGAUGUGAGACUUGUUGUGGUCUUACUAAAUGAAUUUCUUGGUGCUAAACACCUACCAAAUGUACCAUGAAUGUUUCUUAGACUUUUCUUGCACAAAUAAACCAUGUUUUGAGGUUUUCCUUAGCCGAAUGUUUGGAAACGGAGAGAAUGGGAGCUAAAGGCAGUUUUGCCUUAGUAAUUUCAAAACUUUGGUUGAUUGGUUAACCACCUUCCCGAAGGUAUUUUUCCACGAAAUUUGAUAGAGAAAUACCCUUCAUAUAGGAGUACUAUACUACAAAAUUUGGUACCAAUCCAAGUCCGUUUCGACACUUAACUAAAGGUCCAAAGUCGGAAACCCAAAUCUGGAAAUUGUUCAACAGUCUUGAAUUUUUCCCAACUUUGAGCUAUCAUAUCUUGGUUCUCGAAACUCCGAUUCUUGAUCUGCUUGUUCUAUCCUAAACCUUACUUGCAUCUCUAAUUGAGCUAUAAAUUUCAAGGGCUAGUUUGCAACGAGUGAAUUCUGCCGAAUUUCCAAAGUUAGCGAAAAACCAACCCCGGCUCAAUCCUGGGUGAUCCGGAACAGCAAUUUUAAGCUCAUUUUUGAAUAUCUUCCAUUUAGAUUCAUGGAACGGUGUCUUCUAAGAACUUUUAGUACUUUCAAAAACGAUUCCAACAGUACCAAGUUUAUCAAUUUUUGACUAGUAGAAAAGAAGUUAUGAUUUUUCAAAAAUUUUACCAAAAAUCGAGAAUUCUGGAAUUUCAAAAGAAAUCCGCGCGGGAAGCAUUUUUCUAGAAUCCGGCCUUGAAUCCGGACAGUUUCUGGCCGGAUAGGGGGCCGGAUUGUAGUUGGGAUUUGAAAAAAUGAGAAUGGCUACUGCCUCCAAUCCGGCCGGAUAUCGGGCCAGAUUCCGACCGGAUUGUGAUGUGGCCAGUCCACUUUCAACUUCGGUCGUUCGUUUUGAGAUUUAUUCGCGCGUACUCGUUUCCAUCCAAUGAUUUCAGGAAUAAUAAUCCAAUAUUACUCGAGUCUCGUACCUUUUUACGAAUCCAACUUCAAAGACAAACUCAAACGAAAUUUUCAAAAUAUUUCCAGACCCCAUUUGUGUUCGAUCUCCUCGUCUCUUAGGGACCUAUAGUAAUGGUCUUCUAUUUGAUGUUCAGACACGCACGAGGACCUCCAAGAGGACCCUACCGUGGAAGUUUGAACACUCAAUCCAACCUGCUUGCUUGCGUAACUUGGUGAGUGUCAAGUGUGUGUUACUUGAACUCCUGUGAAUUCGAUACGUGAUUACUUGUUAUUGAUAUUUGAGAUUUUGGAAAAUAGAGUCGAGUGUGUACUUUAUCGCACUCGUUCUCAUUUAGUCCCAGAGACACAAAAAACUUUCGUAUUGCUUCCAUUGAUGGCCUAGAUGCCGCAAACCUCCCCACUAGUGCAUUCCGAAAAGGAGCAGCCAGAUUUAUCAUGUCCUGCCGUAAGAGCCGCAGUGCCGGUUCCCCUCGGUGUCUCGAUAUUUCACCAAUCCCUUCAACCGCUGCCGGACCGGAUCCGUCCACCACAACAUCAGCAAAGCUCCUUCCUGCAUUGCCAUGAAGAUCCGGCGGCUUGGGGCCGCCAUGCAGCCCACCUAGGGUUUCCGCCGUAGGCUGUGUUUUUGCAAAUUUAAUGUAAAUAACGAUAAGUAAUGUAGCAUUCAACUCAUUUAUGAAAUAACUUUAUAUUAUUGCUUGAACUUGUUCUGAAGUCUUUAUUCAGAACUAAAUUAGAGCCAAGUCUUUGUUCGUAAUAGUUGUCUGAAAUAUUAGUUUUUGGUUAGUACCUGAGUUUUUUUUUUAAUUUUCUUGUUUUUGCUACUUGCAGAAUGUCUGUUUUCCUUUCUUCUUGGUUGAUUUUCUUUUUGCGCACAUGAAUAUGCAAUCUAAUAACUUGUCUCAUAUACUAUUAUCAAUUGGGGAAACAUUUUGUUUCUCAGUUGGAAACAGGUAAAAUCACUCAAUGUUAAAGUAAAGAUUUGGACCAAAACAUUGAACCUCAAUGCAUAAUACGCUUCAUGAACCUUUUAGAAUUUAUAUAGCUAUUGCCGCAUAUCAGACGUGCAGUUUCAAAAAAAAAAAAUUCAAAUCACUGCAAAUCAGAUAUGUUGUUAAAAAAUUCAUAUUGUAGCGAAUUGAAUCUCUAGCAAUUUUCCAUCCAUUGAUGAAAUGGAUCAACGGCCCACAAAUUCCAUCGCAAAUUUAAUGUGCAGCAUUUAAAAAAAAAGUUCAUUUGCCGCAAAUUUUGUGCGGCAAUAGAAUUAAAAAAAAUGUUGCACCUUCAAAUCACAAUCAUUGAUCAAAUGUUAAUCAAUGGUCCAUCUACGACUAAAACAAAAUAUUCAGCUGAAAAUCUUACCUUAAAAAAUUCUUACGCUGUUGAAAAAAAUUCCAAAAAUAAAUCGGAUUUAUUUUGCACUGAUAUUAGUACCUACGGCGACCCUUAUUUCAGACACAAACCCUACAUUACACUACAUUUACGAUGAUUUCGUGUAUCAACAUUAUUAUGAGAAAUUUGCCCACUUUAGUACUUUUUGUCUUUUUAUUCUUUACCCUUUUUUUAUUCCUUACUCAUUGAAUAUGUCCUAACAUGUUUAUUUUCUUAAAUAAAAAUUUUGUAUCACAAAAUAUUCUUUUUUUUCAAACAUCUAAUAUGCCAAGAAUAUAAGUUGGCUUAUAAUUUGCCGCUAGCCUUUUUUUUGUUUAAAUACAUUAAAUUCUAUUGAGCUUUAUCUCCAUUUGUAGUUUAUCCCCCUGAAUUCAUUUGAUAAACACUUUGUCCUCUACUUGAUGUUUUAGAGAAAAAAAUACUUUUGCUAUAUUAUUUUAAUUUUUUCAGUUCUUUAAUGUCACUAUGUCCUUCACUUUGCUAUUGGUAUUACUAAUUGUGCUUAUUAUAAUAUUUUAGUUUUCUUUAAGUUAUAAUUUUCAUUCUUAUUUUAGUUUAUUUUAUUUAUUUAUUUCUUUACACUAUCAGGAAAUUCAUGACAAAUUAUAUAGCAUGAGAAAAUAUUAUAUACCUGUCAUAAUCAAGAGCAUAUAUAACAAUCACUUUAACUAUGUGAACAUACAUUAGUGAACUAGAACUUUUAAUACAUAAAAGUAUGUAUUAGCUAUUUAACUGUUUUAACAUGUAUUAGCAAUUUAAAAGUAUAUAUCGAAUACAAAGAGAACUAGCAUUUUCAUUUAUGUUUGUGUUAUGUAUGGUUGGUUAAAAAUUAUGUUUUACCAUAUGCUUAUUUGUUUCUUUUGCUAUUAAUAAUUAAUUUCUUUCUAAACCCUAAAUGUAUUAAUUCAAUGCUAUACAAAUAUUCUAUAUGCAUAACCAAACACAUACUUUGUUAUACUGUAAAAUUUGUGAUCAUUAUCUUCUAAUAAUAAAAAUUAAAAAAAGAUACAAAUUUAUAAAGAUUAAAAACAUUAUAUGACCACUAUUUCACAUUUUCUUUGGAGAUUCUCCUCAUGUGCUAAUGUCUUAUUAGGGAGGGCAAUUGCUCUAAAUCCCUUGAACUUUUGAGUGAGUUACACUCCCUCCCCCCUCUCAACUUUUAUGGUAUAUUUUCCCAACUCUCUUUUUCCUCUUUCAUUUUUGCAUUUUCUCUUUUUUUUCCCCUUUUUGUUCAUUCUUUUAAACAAUUAUGAGAGUUGGCUUCUUAUGUCUUUUCUUUUCUUUUAUAAUUUCCUCUUAUGCAAAAAUAAUAAAGAAAACCCAAAUAUACCAACAAAAAAUUUUUUUGGACAAAUUUGAGAUUUUAUUGAUAAUGACAGGAAAGCGUAUACAUAGUAGCAGAAGCUACGAGUACCUACCUAUAUGUUCUACACUAAUACUAAGAGUCUGCACAAAAGGGUUAGCAUUUGUCAAGGCACUUCUGAGAAAUCCCCCUCCAAAAUAAAGUUCCCAAUUUGUCCUAUUACAUGGAACUCCUUCCCAAAAUGGACAAUAUGCCUCAUGGUGUCAAUAACAGUCUUCACGAUGCUAACAGCAGACGCCUAGAUAUUUUGAUGUAUAGCCUCGUUCCGGGCUUUCCACACACAGUCCAUGGUCACGCUCAAUACCAGCCUGCGAAACCAAUCAAGAUAGAGUCUAAUUUCUAGUUUGUACGCAUACAACCCAACUCCAUAGACCAUGAAUAGGCACUUCUAGAGAUAAAGCGCAUUGCUAGGAUCUUUUGCCAUGCUACUGCAACUAUCAUGCAUUCAAAGAAAAGAUAUUGCAUUGACUCUUCUGCAUUACCACAUAAUGCACACUCUGAUGACCCAAUGAAGCAUCCCCAUUUCUUCAUCCUGUCUCUAGUAUAUAACCUUCGUUUACAUAACAAUCAGAGCAUAAUGAAAAUAGUGGAGCGAAUCUUUUACCCAUAUUAGCUUAAACCAUGGAACUUUAGGACCAGCUUAUCUGAUAGCUUGUAGAGCGGAUUUUACGAUGAAAUAGCCAGAGUUCUUAGGCGAGGAUGGCCAUCCCGGCUCAGCCAUACCGAGCUAGUCCUUUAUUAUUUGGGAUGGGUUGCUACCAGUUUUGGCCACCUUGGCUAGAAAUCGCAUGCGAAUAACCAAGGUGACUCCCACAUCCACUGGUACCUCGGAUUGGUGCUGUGCAUGACACAACAUCUGAGGUUUUAUCGGAGAACCCGACACCUGAAUGGCGGACAAGGCAUCUAACGAGACCUGUCUACUGCUCCAUCAUGUCAGAUCAGAUUGGACACGCUCAAUCCCUGCCAGGCUCUAGGGAGUUGGAGCUCACUAUUCCUUCCUCCAACUUGUCCCCUAUAAAUACCACUCCCCCUCAUUCAGAAAGGGGGGGAGGGAAAGGUGGUAAGAACUCUACUGUUUUCAUUCCCAUUAUUCAUUCUCCCUCGAAACUAACUUAAUCAUCAGAGGUAUCCCGAGGAGAAAGCCCCGUCUAGUGUGCGUAUCAGGAAAAGUACAGCACAAAAUCACCCCAUUCAAGAAGAGGACAUAUUAGAUUAGCUAGGCUUGGCCGUCCAGAAAUAACCUCUUCAAUUGGCGCCCACCGUGUCUUAUCCUUCUUCUUAGGAAAUGGAUAGAAAUCAACGGGAGUAUGUUGUUUGAGUAGUCGUACUUCAGUAGUAAACUUUCAUCCACAUGGCCAUCUCCAAUUCAUACCUUUAAUGCGGUUAGCAAUAGGAUCAUUUAUAGAUAAGCCAAAAUUUCUAAGCAAAUUUCCAGGGAAGUGUUUGUAUAGUGGACCCGUUGGUUGCCAUUGAUCAUACCAGAAGAAUGUGUACUUUCAAUCAUCUAUCAGUUUCUUAACAAAAGGCUGAGCUAUAUUUCGCAUUUUAAGCAAUUUCCUCCAAACCAAGAAAUAGUCAAAAGGGACUUGUACUGCCCAAAUUGAUCUCUAUUUCAGCAAGCAUACACACAUUUAACCCACAUUGAAUCCAUUUUCUCGCACAGAUUCCACAGGAGUUUACGUACUAAACAGGUGUUCUAGAGAGUGAAAUCUACUAGCCCCAAGCCCCCUUCUUUUAAUGGCUGGCACACUUCCUUCGAACUUACUUUUGCCCCAUAGUGACUCAAAACUCCAUGGACAUGCAGAAGAGAAAUACUAUCUCCACUCGGACCAAGACAGAACUUUUACUUGUUCAAAUAACAAUUAAGGUGAAGCAGGGUCAAGAACGCCGAAUCUCUUUAUGAUAAACAGAUACAUUUUGUAAGUUCGUUAGUAUGAGUAGUUCUUACAAAGGAUCGGACUAAUGACAUAUACAAUACUUGAAUUCUCGAUGUAGAUGCUACAUAGUUGGUUCUCAUCCUUCAGAGACUACGAGUGUAAUAGGAGCAUCCGUCGACAAAAGGAUCACCCUAAGAUGAUCAUCUCAUGGUACUUAUGUCAUGAUCGGAGAUAUCCCUAUCAUCCCAUGGUGUGAGAUAAAAAUUAGGAAUCCACUUAUGUAAUGGAGUCGAUCCACUAAGGUUUUGAGCAGCGGUGUAGGAUCAGAUCCCAAAGAUAGUAUGUCUUUUCUUAUGA